UACGUAGGUGGCAAGCGUUGUCCGGAAUUACUGGGUGUAAAGCGCGUGUAGGCGGGAGGCCAAGUCUGUGGUGAAAUCGCCUGGCUUAACUGGGCGGGGUCCAUGGAAACUGGUCACCUGGAGGUCGGUAGAGGCAAGUGGAAUUCCCGGUGUAGUGGUGAAAUGCGUAGAGAUCGGGAGGAACACCAGUGGCGAAGGCGGCUUGCUGGGCCGGACCUGACGCUGAGGUGCGAAAGCGUGGGGAGCAAACAGG
RNAcentral lists this ribosomal RNA (253 nucleotides) under uncultured bacterium. RNAcentral's name for it is "partial 16S ribosomal RNA". It matches the Rfam family "Bacterial small subunit ribosomal RNA", at positions 524 to 776 of the family's 1533-position model. The record is from RNAcentral.